AACCCUUGUUCUGUGUUCCCAGCAUGCCUUUGGGGGUGAUGGGGACUCACAGGAGACUGCUGGGGUCAACUCGGAGGAAGGUGGGGACGACGUCAAGUCAUCAUGCCCCUUAUGUCUUGGGCUGCACACGUGCUACAAUGGCCGGUACAAUGAGCUGCGAUACCGCGAGGUGGAGCGAAUCUCAAAAAGCCGGUCUCAGUUCGGAUUGGGGUCUGCAACUCGACCCCAUGAAGUCGGAGUUGCUAGUAAUCGCAGAUCAGCAUUGCUGCGGUGAAUACGUUUUCGGGCCUUGUACACACC
RNAcentral lists this ribosomal RNA (300 nucleotides) under Streptomyces sp. RNAcentral describes it as "bacterial SSU rRNA". It matches the Rfam family "Bacterial small subunit ribosomal RNA", at positions 1100 to 1391 of the family's 1533-position model. Lineage: Bacteria; Bacillati; Actinomycetota; Actinomycetes; Kitasatosporales; Streptomycetaceae. The record is from RNAcentral.